CCAGACUCCUACGGGAGGCAGCAGUGAGGAAUAUUGGUCAAUGGGCGCGAGCCUGAACCAGCCAAGUCGCGUGAGGGAGGACGGCCCUACGGGUUGUAAACCUCUUUUGCCGGGGAGCAACGGGCGCCACGUGUGGCGCCACUGAGAGUACCCGGAGAAAAAGCAUCGGCUAACUCCGUGCCAGCAGCCGCGGUAAUACGGAGGAUGCGAGCGUUAUCCGGAUUUAUUGGGUUUAAAGGGUGCGUAGGCGGAUCGUUAAGUCAGGGGUAAAAUGGGGGGGCACACCCCCUCCCCGCCAUUGAAACUGGCGAUCUUGAGUGGAAGAGAAGUAUGCGGAAUGCGUGGUGUAGCGGUGAAAUGCAUAGAUAUACGGAGGAACACCAGUGGCGAAGGCGGAUUGCUGGACAGUAACUGACGCUGAGGCGCGAAAGCGUGGGGAGCAAACAGGAUUAGAUACCCCAGUA
RNAcentral lists this ribosomal RNA (464 nucleotides) under uncultured bacterium. RNAcentral's name for it is "bacterial SSU rRNA". It matches the Rfam family "Bacterial small subunit ribosomal RNA", at positions 331 to 792 of the family's 1533-position model. The record is from RNAcentral.